RNAcentral lists this ribosomal RNA (472 nucleotides) under uncultured bacterium. Its description in RNAcentral is "bacterial SSU rRNA". It matches the Rfam family "Bacterial small subunit ribosomal RNA", at positions 28 to 507 of the family's 1533-position model. The record is from RNAcentral.
GGCUAACGCUGGCGGCGUGUCUUAGCCAUGCAAGUCGAGCGGACUUAUGGGGUAACUUAUAAGUCAGCGGCGGACGGCGGAGUAACACGUAGCUAACCUACCCUCUGGACGGGGAUAACCUACCGAAAGGUGGGCUAAUACCCGAUGUAGUCAUCCUGUAUAGGGGUGAUGAAAGGUGGGCUUCUGUUUACAAGCUCAUGCUGGAGGAGGGGGCUGCGGCCUAUCAGGUAGUUGGUAGGGUAAUAGCCUACCAAGCCGAUGACGGGUAGCCGGCCUGAGAGGGUGACCGGCCCGAGGGGCACUGAGAUACGGGUCCCACUCCUACGGGAGGCAGCAGGCUAGAAAUUUGGGCAAUGGGGGAAACCCUGACCCAGUGACGCCGCGUGCAGGAAGGAGCCCUUCGGGGUGUAAACUCCUUUUCUCAGGGAAAAGGAUGAUGGUACCUGAGGAAUAAGCCCCGGCUAACUACGUG